AGCACAUGUGCUUGUGAAGGUCAAGGGACUGGCAGCAUCAGAAAUUGAAUUUCUGAAUACAUCCACAGUCCAGGCCAGAUGUAGCUCAUCACCAGUUGGAGCUGAUUUCAGAAGAGGUGUUAGAGUUUGCUAGUCCAAGAGACGAUCUGAUCCAGGCAUCAAAGGGAGCCACGAGAGAAGUGUGUACUCUCCCCCCUGCUUGCAAUUGUCUGCGGCACCGCCUGCUCACUUCUGACAGCCCCAUGCCACCCUCCCAGAGCAAGGGCUCCCACGUUCCCUUCUUCAGCCCUUCCCUCCCCAGCCCAAUCUACCAUGCUGCUGGCAGCCAGCUAAAGAGUGCAGACUUGGUGCCUGCACAAAAGUGAGGAGGAAUUACUAAUAAACACAAGCCUGUGCACUGGGAAAAUUAA
This is a long non-coding RNA of Pipra filicauda (Wire-tailed manakin), 410 nucleotides long. RefSeq lists it as uncharacterized. Lineage: Eukaryota; Metazoa; Chordata; Aves; Passeriformes; Pipridae. The transcript is spliced from 2 exons. The record is from RefSeq and is a predicted model, not a curated record.